Molecule: ribosomal RNA, 239 nt
Filed under: uncultured bacterium
Lineage: Bacteria
Description: partial 16S ribosomal RNA
Rfam family: Bacterial small subunit ribosomal RNA
Source: RNAcentral
CCGGCGCACGGGUGAGUAACGCGUAUCCAACCUGCCCACCACUUGGGGAUAACCUUGCGAAAGCAAGACUAAUACCCAAUGAUAUCUCUAGAAGACAUCUGAAAGAGAUUAAAGAUUUAUCGGUGAUGGAUGGGGAUGCGUCUGAUUAGCUUGUUGGCGGGGUAACGGCCCACCAAGGCGACGAUCAGUAGGGGUUCUGAGAGGAAGGUCCCCCACAUUGGAACUGAGACACGGUCCAA